AGCGAACGCUGGCGGCAGGCCUAAUACAUGCAAGUCGAGCGCACCUUCGGGUGAGCGGCGGACGGGUGAGUAACGCGUGGGAAUGUGCCCUUUGGUACGGAACAACUGAGGGAAACUUCAGCUAAUACCGUAUGUGCCCUUCGGGGGAAAGAUUUAUCGCCAUUGGAGCAGCCCGCGUUGGAUUAGGUAGUUGGUAGGGUAAAGGCCUACCAAGCCUACGAUCCAUAGCUGGUCUGAGAGGAUGAUCAGCCACACUGGGACUGAGACACGGCCCAGACUCCUACGGGAGGCAGCAGUAGGGAAUCUUGCGCAAUGGGCGAAAGCCUGACGCAGCCAUGCCGCGUGAAUGAUGAAGGUCUUAGGAUUGUAAAAUUCUUUCACCGGGGAAGAUAAUGACGGUACCCGGAGAAGAAGCCCCGGCUAACUUCGUG
Molecule: ribosomal RNA, 431 nt
Filed under: uncultured bacterium
Lineage: Bacteria
Description: bacterial SSU rRNA
Rfam family: Bacterial small subunit ribosomal RNA
Source: RNAcentral